Molecule: ribosomal RNA, 506 nt
Filed under: uncultured bacterium
Lineage: Bacteria
Description: partial 16S ribosomal RNA
Rfam family: Bacterial small subunit ribosomal RNA
Source: RNAcentral
AGUGAACGCUGGCGGUAGGCCUAACACAUGCAAGUCGAACGGCAGCACAGGAGAGCUUGCUCUCUGGGUGGCGAGUGGCGGACGGGUGAGGAAUACAUCGGAAUCUACUCUGUCGUGGGGGAUAACGUAGGGAAACUGACGCUAAUACGGCAUACGACCUAGGGGUGAAAGCAGGGGACCUUCGGGCCUUGCGCGAUUGCAUGAGCCGAUGUCGGAUUAGCUAGUUGGGGGGGUAAAGGCCCACCAAGGCGACGACCCGUAGCUGGUCUGAGAGGAUGAUCAGCCACACUGGAACUGAGACACGGUCCAGACUCCUACGGGAGGCAGCAGUGGGGAAUAUUGGACAAUGGGCGCAAGCCUGAUCCAGCCAUACCGCGUGGGUGAAGAAGGCCUUCGGGUUGUAAAGCCCUUUUGUUGGGAAAGAAAUCCAGCUGGCUAAUACCCGGUUGGGAUGACGGUACCCAAAGAAUAAGCACCGGCUAACUUCGUGCCAGCCGCCGCCGUAA